GAUGAAGAACGCAGCGAAAUGCGAUAAGUAAUGUGAAUUGCAGAAUUCAGUGAAUCAUCGAAUCUUUGAACGCACAUUGCGCCCGCCAGUAUUCUGGCGGGCAUGCCUGUUCGAGCGUCAUUUCAACCAUCAAGCCCCCGGCUUGUGUUGGGGACCUGCGGCUGCCGCAGGCCCUGAAAAGCAGUGGCGGCCUCGCUGUCACACCGAGCGUAGUAGCAUACAUCUCGCUCUGGGCGUGCUGCGGGUUCCGGCCGUUAAACCACCUUCAUAACCCAAGGUUGACCUCGGAUCAGGUAGGAAGACCCGCUGAACUUAAGCAUAUCAAUAAGCGGAGGA
This 336-nucleotide unclassified non-coding RNA is filed under the name soil metagenome. Its description in RNAcentral is "partial contains 5.8S ribosomal RNA, internal transcribed spacer 2, and large subunit ribosomal RNA". The stretch from base 1 to 120 matches the Rfam family "5.8S ribosomal RNA", at positions 35 to 154 of the family's 154-position model. The record is from RNAcentral.